Saimiri boliviensis boliviensis (Bolivian squirrel monkey) is the source of this 1702-nucleotide long non-coding RNA. RefSeq lists it as uncharacterized. The record is from RefSeq and is a predicted model, not a curated record. Lineage: Eukaryota; Metazoa; Chordata; Mammalia; Primates; Cebidae.
UUUUCUCAAGACUUCAGCUGCUUUGUUGGCGGCCGGGCCUGGCUCUCAGCAGCUCUGCAGGCUGGAAGGGCCCAAGAGACCCUCCACCCACCGGGUGUCUCCAGCAGCAGGGAGGGCUCUGGGGCGCAGCCCAUUGCUGCUCUGCCCUCCUCCCUUCUUGGGUGCCAGGCAGGUUUUUGUGAGCAGAGCAGACAGAGAAGAGAUGCCCAGUGAGGUUGGCUGUCCGCUGCAGAGCUUCCCAGAGCCUGAGCUCCGGGCUGAGGGUCCCUGGACAGACGUCAUCUCCCGGGCUUCAGUGGAAUCACUCACAAAGCCACCCGGUGCCCACCCUCCCACCACAGAGAGCAGCUGUUGGAGAACCCGACAUGAGGCUUUGGAGACCUUGAGGAGGAGGAGACACGGGAGAUGAUGGCUGGGAUGGUCACCGUGGCACGGCUGUGCCGUCACUGAUUUCUGCCCACCCGCCCCCUAAGUCUCACUCUCAAUUUCCUACUUAAUUCUUUGGAGAGCACCAGUCCUGAGAUGAGAGGUGGUAUGUUCACUCUCUGGGAGUUGAGAUGGAACCCAGGCAGUCAGAUAAAAGUGCCGCAGCCACGUGCUGGGCCUACUACAUGCCAGGAGCGUCACUAUCAUCCAAUUCCUAAAACGACUGUCCUGCGUGUGCUCCCCACACCUGGGCGACCCUGGGGGAAGCGGGGCUGCAGGAGGCUCAGUGACCUGCCCUGGGAGAAACGGAUGGCGUGGAUGCCUUGUCCGCGAGGGGCUGUGCCGGGAGAAGACAAGAUCAUUCCUGGAAGCUGGUCCAGCGUCUCCUGUGCAUGGUGCAGCUGCUUGGGCUGACACCCUCCUCCCUCUGCCUCCUGCUAGCCAGUCCCUGGGUGCAUUCAGGCAUGAAGCAGCAAGGUCUCUUGUCCCAGAAGUGACUGGGACCCACAAGCGAGUAGGCGCCCCCCGCCCCAUGCUAAUGCUCUUCACGGGAUGAAACCCAAGGUGGUAUCAGGGAGCCAGGGGCCAUGGCUGUGACAGCCACCCACUCCAGACCAUAGCCACAUUCGGAAUAGUUCAGAGUGGCCUGCCUUGAUGACGUCACAAAGGUCUCUAUGGAAAUGUGUCACAGAACCAGAACUUAAGGGCAUUUGGAUGAGGCUGAGGUGAGAUCAGGUCAUGGAAGAGCAUUCUCAAGUUAGGUGGGAAACAGCUGGAGACCCCAGGAUGUCCUCAGAACCUUUAUCUAAGCAAGCACAUGAUAAGGUCUUUCCCAAGAAAUAAGCAUGGCUUUUCGUCCUAGUUGAGAAAGGUUGUCGUAGAUCUUUUUCCCUUUUAACCUUGGCUGCCAGGAAGCUCAGUGCCAAGCUUUAUGCUCCACCCCGGACCUACUUUCCUUGGACUGGCUCUCGGGUGCAGCCCGGUCUCUCCCUUCUUUAUCGCAUGAGGCUGCCUGAUUUCUGUACAUUUUGCCCACUGGUGCUGACAGCUGGACACUCUUUCCUGAAGGAGCUGAUGCGUAGAGUGAGUGGAUGAUGACGGGCUGUGACAGGGCCUUCUGCCAAGGAUUUGGGCUACGGGGUGUGGGCUGGGAAGGAAGAGGAGGACCCUGCUCCUCAGAGGGCAACCAGGAACAUAUUCCAGGGAGCACAUGCCUGCAGGGUUAUCACAGCCACAGGCUGUGACGUGGACACUGGAAUAAACAGGAUGUGGCGAA